This 285-nucleotide unclassified non-coding RNA is filed under the name plant metagenome. RNAcentral's name for it is "partial contains small subunit ribosomal RNA, internal transcribed spacer 1, and 5.8S ribosomal RNA". The stretch from base 1 to 53 matches the Rfam family "Eukaryotic small subunit ribosomal RNA", at positions 1778 to 1831 of the family's 1831-position model. The record is from RNAcentral.
GGAAGUAAAAGUCUAACAAGGUUUCCGUAGGUGAACCUGCGGAAGGAUCAUUAUUGUAUAACCGAGGUGCGAGGGCUGUCGCUGACCCGAAAGGUCGUGCACGCCCGAGUGCCCUCACACACAUCCAUCUCACCCCUAUGUGCACCACCGCGUGGGUCCCCCUUUGGCUUGUUCGGAGGGGGGCUUACGUUUUCACACAAACUUUGUAUGCAGUGUAGAAUGUAUUUUUUGUUUUUUGCGAUCACGCAAUCAAUACAACUUUCAACAACGGAUCUCUUGGCUCUC